CAAUAGCGUAUAUUAAAGUUGUUGCAGUUAAAAAGCUCGUAGUUGGAUUUCUGAUCGAGACAUCAGGUCGGGUCCGAGAGGAUCAUGUACUUUGAUUUUGUUUUGAUCAUCCUUGGGGAGAGCAUUUCUGGCAUUCAGUUGUCGGGAGUGGGAUCCUCAUCGUUUACUGUGAAAAAAUUAGAGUGUUCAAAGCAGGCCUCGGCCUCUGAAUACAUUAGCAUGGAAUAAUAAGAUAGGACUUUGGUGGUCUAUUUUGUUGGUUUGCACGCCAAAGUAAUGAUUAAUAGGGAUAGUUGGGGGUAUUCGUAUUCAAUUGUCAGAGGUGAAAUUCUUGGAUUUAUGGAAGACGAACUACUGCGAAAGCAUUUACCAAGGAUGUUUUCAUUAA
This 388-nucleotide ribosomal RNA is filed under the name uncultured eukaryote. RNAcentral describes it as "partial 18S ribosomal RNA". It matches the Rfam family "Eukaryotic small subunit ribosomal RNA", at positions 592 to 976 of the family's 1831-position model. The record is from RNAcentral.